RNAcentral lists this ribosomal RNA (541 nucleotides) under uncultured bacterium. RNAcentral's name for it is "bacterial SSU rRNA". It matches the Rfam family "Bacterial small subunit ribosomal RNA", at positions 368 to 918 of the family's 1533-position model. The record is from RNAcentral.
GCAUGGACGGAUGCUUGACUCGACGCACACCGUCGUUGUGAGGAUGACAGGAUCUUUGUUUGUACACCUCUUUCAGGAAGGAAGAAAAUGACGGUACCUCCACAAGAACCCCCGGCCUACUACGUGCCAGCCGCCGCGGUAAUUCGGGGGGGGCGAGCGUUGUCCGGAUUUGUUGGGCGUAAACAGCUCGGAGGCGGUUCAACAAGUCCGUCGUAAAACUUCGGGGCUCCACCCUGAGAUGUCCAUCGAUACUGUUGUGACUAUGAUACGGAAGAGGUGAGUGGAAUUCCUAGUGUAGCGAUGAAAUGCGUAAAUAUUCGGAAGAACACCUAUUGCGAAGGCACCUCACUGGGCCGCUAUCGACGCUGAGGAACGAAAGCUGGGGGAGCAAACAUGAUUAAAUACCCUGGUACUCCUAGCUGUAAACGAUGGAUACUAGACGUAAGAACUGGAUUGACUGUUUCUGUGUCGUAACUAACGCGUUAAUUAUCCCGCCUGGGGAGUACGGUCGCAAUACUAAAACUCAAAGGAAUUGGCGGAG